This 305-nucleotide ribosomal RNA is filed under the name uncultured bacterium. RNAcentral's name for it is "bacterial SSU rRNA". It matches the Rfam family "Bacterial small subunit ribosomal RNA", at positions 337 to 634 of the family's 1533-position model. The record is from RNAcentral.
CCCUACGGGGCGCAGCAGUGGGGAAUUUUGGACAAUGGGCGCAAGCCUGAUCCAGCUAUUCCGCGUGUGGGAUGAAGGCCCUCGGGUUGUAAACCACUUUUGUAGAGAACGAAAAGACACCUUUUAAUAAAGGGUGUUGCUGACGGUACUCUAAGAAUAAGCACCGGCUAACUACGUGCCAGCAGCCGCGGUAAUACGUAGGGUGCGAGCGUUAAUCGGAAUUACUGGGCGUAAAGGGUGCGCAGGCGGUUGUGUAAGGCAGAUGUGAAAUACCCGAGCUUAACUCGGGAAGGGCUUAUUGUACG